CAGAUGGGAGCUUGCUCCCUGAUGUUAGCGGCGGACGGGUGAGUAACACGUGGGUAACCUGCCUGUAAGACUGGGAUAACUCCGGGAAACCGGGGCUAAUACCGGAUGCUUGUUUGAACCGCAUGGUUCAAACAUAAAAGGUGGCUUCGGCUACCACUUACAGAUGGACCCGCGGCGCAUUAGCUAGUUGGUGAGGUAAUGGCUCACCAAGGCAACGAUGCGUAACCGACCUGAGAGGGUGAUCGGCCACACUGGGACUGAGACACGGCCCAGACUCCUACGGGAGGCAGCAGUAGGGAAUCUUCCGCAAUGGACGAAAGUCUGACGGAGCAACGCCGCGUGAGUGAUGAAGGUUUUCGGAUCGUAAAGCUCUGUUGUUAGGGAAGAACAAGUACCGUUCGAAUAGGGCGGUACCUUGACGGUACCUAACCAGAAAGCCACGGCUAACUACGUGCCAGCAGCCGCGGUAAUACGUAGGUGGCAAGCGUUGUCCGGAAUUAUUGGGCGUAAAGGGCUCGCAGGCGGUUCCUUAAGUCUGAUGUGAAAGCCCCCGGCUCAACCGGGGAGGGUCAUUGGAAACUGGGGAACUUGAGUGCAAAAGAAGAGAGUGGAAUUCCACGUGUAGCGGUGAAAUGCGUAUAGAUGUGGAGGAACACCAGUGGCGAAAGCGACUCUCUGGUCUGUAACUGACGCUGAGGAGCGAAAGCGUGGGGAGCGAACAGGAUUACAUACCCUGGUAGUCCACGCCGUAAACGAUGAGUGCUAAGUGUUAGGGGGUUUCCGCCCCUUAGUGCUGCAGCUAACGCAUUAAGCACUCCGCCUGGGGAGUACGGUCGCAAGACUGAAACUCAAAGGAAUUGACGGGGGCC
This 869-nucleotide ribosomal RNA is filed under the name Bacillus mojavensis. Its description in RNAcentral is "bacterial SSU rRNA". It matches the Rfam family "Bacterial small subunit ribosomal RNA", at positions 69 to 921 of the family's 1533-position model. The record is from RNAcentral. Lineage: Bacteria; Bacillati; Bacillota; Bacilli; Caryophanales; Bacillaceae.